Molecule: long non-coding RNA, 1722 nt
Organism: Coturnix japonica (Japanese quail)
Lineage: Eukaryota; Metazoa; Chordata; Aves; Galliformes; Phasianidae
Source: Ensembl
AUUUGUGUUGUAACAGCCAGCUGCAGGAUGGAGUAUAAACGGAGUAUGUUAAACUAUUUAAAUAUUCCAAAUAUUAUGUACAACAGAUCUUGUACUAAUUCAUUAUGAAAAAAGCAAUUUUGUUUAAUCAUUUAUUAGCUAUUUAUGAGGUGUCUGCAUAUUAAACACAUACAGAUUAUUGUUCAACGUGACAGCCAGUAUAAUGAUUGUGUGUCACCUAUGUGUAACCACUAACACAGUUUUCUUUGGUGUUUUCAGCUACCAGAGUUGCUAGAAUGACUAAAGGUCAUGAUUCUCAAGCAUGUGUAAAAGAGACAACGAGUCUGACCUUCUAAGAAAAAGAAGAAUUUUCAAAACAAUGCUCAAAUUUUAACAUAAGUUUGUUAUUCACUCCUGGAUUAUAUACCACUUUCCUCAUAGAGGCAGUGAAGCAGGUUGCCCAGCAACCCUGCAGAAUCUCUGUCCUUGGAAGUAUUCAAGGCCCAACCACCCACAGCCUGAGAAACAUCCGGUUGGAGCCCAGCACUGACACAUACCUGUGCAAGAGAUUAGACCAGAGCCCUUUCAAAGGACUCUUCCAACAUGAAUUUCCCUGUGACUUGCCAUGGAGUCACCUUGGGACACCAAGCAGAAUGUUGUUUGCUUGCAAGGGUGAGAAUGAAUUUUCCCUCUUCAAACUGCUUGCACUUUGUUUAAUGGAAGGACAACAACUGGUAAAAUGAAGUGGGAGAUAAAGGCAGAAAAUUGUGAAAAGCCAGAAUCUUAAGUCACACAUGACUACCUGUGGGCAUUGAAUAACAUGGCACAGUAUGGCAGUCAGAAUGAGUAUAGCUUAAGCAAUAGCAGUAGCAAUUAACGUAAGGUUUUGAGGGAUUAAUGACACAUUGAAAGAAGCUGAUAGUUUGCAGUAAUCAAGAGAGCUCAUCUAGCUAUUAAUUGCUAGGAAGACCUGCACUGAAUUCUUCAUUGCUAUUAGAAACUGAAAUUGAUAGAGAAAAUGAUUCUUCUUCUAUUUUUAUUUAUUUUUUUUUUUUUCAGUCUGUUCCUGUCACCUGAAUAUGUUUCCAACAUAGCAGUGUAAUUUGUAGGGUUCUUUGUGGGAAAAUGGACUCUGUAGAGGCAUUUCUUUUAUAGUAGCUUUGCAUACAGACAGGCAUGACAAUAAGAAGGGUCUAGUGUCUCAGAUACCAUCUAUUAUUGUAAUUCCAAAGGCUUAAUGCCUCUCUUACAUCAGUGAAUGACUUGGCCCUUGCUGCAAAAUAAUUAGUUAAAUUAUUAGAGCUCUCUAGAAAACAUAUCACUUUGGAAAUGCAGUUGCAUAAGGAAAUAGCUAGUUGGAAUGUGGACUAUCCUUUUCUUUACGGAACUUUGAAAGAUAAAUGCAUUACAGUUAGUGGCUAUUUAUUUAUUUGCUUAUUUAUUUUUACAAUGGAAACACUGUCAUUUCUAAAAUGAUGUGUUUCUGCUCAUAAAAAUGUUUCCAUAUCAUCUUGCCUGGCACCCCAAAGUGAGCUCUUGUCUUUUCAUACAUGUUGGUACUCUGAAAAUGUAGUUUGAUGCGAACAGCCAUAGUCCGUGUCCUUCUUUUGACACCGCUGCAUCUAUGCUGUCUUAAACGAACUUACAUCCAUAGGAAAUGUGAAAUUAUAUUGUCUGUAGCAUUAAUUUGUAUAAGAUUAACUUCCAAAAGCCCUUUACCUGAAGUUUAGAAUGAACUGUUCC